AUCUGGACUACCUAAUGGCAUGGAAGAGUGCGGGGUGUGCUUUUAUUUGAGGCUUCCUGCUUCCCAGCCAGCACCGUCAGCUUUAGCCACAACAGCGCAGAGCUUCCAUGUGUGGCAGCCACACAUCCCUGAGUUUGUUGGGGGGGUGGGGAGGAGGAACAGAAGUGGGAAGUUGCAUCUGGACUUCCCAGAGACACCACAGACACCUGGUGCCUGGUUGGCUGCUCUCAUCCAGCAAGAUCCAUCUGUAUUUCAGCCCUCCCCUGGCAAAGAAGUAUGUGAAUUUUGAAGAGUCUGACCCUGCAGCCAUGUAAGUGUGGAGAACAAAUUUUGUGGGAUGGAGGAGGUGCGCGCUCUUUUGACACCUUCCUCCUGCAGAGGACUGUAAUGGACAAGAAAACAGAAGCGAAGGGAUGCCCAGGAAUUCCAGCAUGGCCAUGUCAACUCGGGCCAAGCAGGAGGGGGGCUUUGUGCAUGAAUGUUGGCUCUGUGAACCUUUAGCCAGUGAUUAAAGAGCAGCCUGAGGUUUGGCAACUCCUGGAGCUGCCUGAUCAAAAAAUGAGGUGACCCCUGGAUCAUACACACACCCCUUUGCAGCUGCCCAUCACACUAGCUGAGCUGCCUCUCAGGCUGCUCAAAGGAAGGAGGCCAGAAGCUUUCGGCCUUCCUGAGCCAGAUUCCCAUUGCUCCUCCUAGCAGAGGUUCUGCCUGCCCAGCCCCCUCCCUAAUACAGAAUUCUUCACUUUUUUCCCUUCCCAGAAUGGGAGGCUCUCCAGAGACUGGAAUGACACCUCGAGGACGUGACAGUCAUAUUUACGAAGAAGUGGAAUAGGAGAAUCACUGCGGAGAUGGGCUAACACGCUGUAUGAACUUUCCCAUGGAGCCCUUGGGCUGCAGAAAGACUCCUCUGGCAGGGUACCACCAGGACACCCUUUGAUCUUCCUAUUAAACAUGCUUUUAAUUCC
Long non-coding RNA from Candoia aspera, 965 nucleotides. RefSeq lists it as uncharacterized. The record is from RefSeq and is a predicted model, not a curated record. The transcript has 2 exons. NCBI's taxonomy places the organism in Eukaryota, Metazoa, Chordata, Lepidosauria, Squamata, Candoiidae.